This is a long non-coding RNA of Lactuca sativa (garden lettuce), 1386 nucleotides long. RefSeq lists it as uncharacterized. NCBI's taxonomy places the organism in Eukaryota, Viridiplantae, Streptophyta, Magnoliopsida, Asterales, Asteraceae. The record is from RefSeq and is a predicted model, not a curated record.
UGAUGGUUUGAAUUGGGACUCCUUUUCUAUCUAUGCAUACACAACCCUUCCAUCAACGCCCUUCAUCAUUAACGCUGCUCGGACAUAUCUCUAUUUCUCCUUUGCCUCCCUGUAUAGACAUUUUUCCAGGCUGCAUUAUUUCUUAAUUUUUUUGAAUAGAAUUAAGGGUAUGUUUAGGUUUUCUAAUUUGAUUAUAUUUAAUUUGGCUUUGAGUGCUUAUUUGAGCCCUAAACUGAUGUCUUCUUUCUCCAGAAGUUCCCUUUUACGUGAUUGAUCAUGUUUAGAUUUUAAAAUGAAGAACCGUAAUCGACUGAUAUGCUGAUUGUUUGAUAGUUUUUGUUCUAAUUUUUUGGUUUUGGUGGUUUAACGGAAUCAAUCCUACAGUAUCGGGUGCGCCCAUUUCGAUUGUCAAAAUUGAUGCCAUGGAAGCCCAAAUUAAGAUGAAAUCUGUGGACAGGGCCAUUAAUGCUCUGAAGGAAGAAGAACCUGAUCUGGUUUUUACAUUUGAAGCUGGUUCUGACCAAUCUUUGAAAUAAUAUCAAAUGAUAUGGCUAAUGCUUGUUGUACAUAUUUUGUGAACUUUAUUGCAGAUUUCAUGGAAAUUAGUAGAGCGGGAAUGUUUGGGACGUGGGGAAAGCGAUUGGAAUAAGAGGGCGUCAAGGAUUUUGGGCUUGAUGGGUAGUGGAGAUUAUGCAUGGAGCGGGCUUGAUGGUUAUUUGAAGGCUUAGAGAAAAUGAAGUUUGAAUUUGCAAGAUGCGGGAGAAUAUUCAAGCGCGCGUAGAUCAUAAAUCAGGCGAGUUCACGAGCUUUGGAGGAUUUGGAGAAAUCAAAUUGGGCUUAAAAUGAAGAAAACUUGAAGAAAAAUGGGCUAGGAGCUGAUUGGACUCAAACUGGACCAAGUGCGCUAAGCUAUGGAGGCCCAAACCUCAAAGAUGCUACAUCCAGGGACCACCCGCGCAACCCACCCGCGCAGCAGCACGAGGGUCACGCAACCUCCUGCAGGGGCAAUUUCGGAAAUCCAUUUGGAAGGCUAUUUGAGGAAGGUUGGUGCCCAUCUUUUGGGGACUCUUGGACAUCCGAUUUUUGGAGAUUCUCUCUGGAGUUUUGAAGACUUUUGAAGGCCAAGAACACUUGAAGAACAUCAUAUUUUUACCUCUUGAUUCUUGCUUAAUGUUUGGUACAAUUUUCUCUAACUUUGUUUCUUUGGGUUUAGCCAUGCUUGGCUAAACUAAUCUUGGUUGACUUUUGGUUAAUCCUUUGAACUUUUGUUGAAUGUUGAAGAAUCCAUGAACAUGUUCUUAAAUCUUUAUGGGAAUGUUUUGUGUUUUAACAUCUUAUCACUACUUGUAUGUUUUAGUUCAUGAGUUUAAAUGUGCUUGUGGUGAU